RNAcentral lists this ribosomal RNA (253 nucleotides) under uncultured bacterium. RNAcentral's name for it is "partial 16S ribosomal RNA". It matches the Rfam family "Bacterial small subunit ribosomal RNA", at positions 524 to 776 of the family's 1533-position model. The record is from RNAcentral.
GACGUGGGGGGCCAGCGUUGCUCGGAAUUACUGGGGGUAAAGGGUUCGUAGGCGGUGUAGCAAGUCGGGAGUGAAAUCUCUGGGCUCAAACCAGAGACUGCUUCCGAAACUGCUGUGCUUGAGUGUGGGAGAGGCGCGUGGAAUUGCAGGUGUAGCGGUGAAAUGCGUAGAUAUCUGCAGGAACACCCGUGGCGAAAGCGGCGCGCUGGACCACUACUGACGCUGAGGUGCGAAAGCGUGGGGAGCAAACAGG